ACAUUUUUCUUCGAUGAAAACCGCAAACGAAGAAGCUAAAGGACUAUUUCUUCUCCAUACCAUCAUCUCUAUUUAUUUCCAUUAGGGAUGAAGAAUCUUAUCUGUUUCAACAAUUCUGUUAUGUGUACAAGAAGAUCUCAUCUCUCUCUUCUCAUGGUUAUUUUCUGGAAUAUUUAUUUUUACUCAAAUCUAGGGUUUCAUCACUAUCUUCAAUCCUUGUCUCUCGAUCACUCACUAUUUGUCUCUCGAUCACUCACUAUAUAUAUUGCUGGGGGACAGAUCUCUCUUUUUAUUCAUUUUGUCCAUGUGUGCGGAAAUCAAGCUUGAAAGAUCUUUCUCCUUUAUCUCAAUUGGAAACUCCGUGAGUCUCUGGAAUUUUUCUCUCGGGAAAAAUGACGGCCCUGAGUUAGCUGAUUUUUUUGAUGGUGGUCCCAAAGAUUCAAAAUAUUUAAUUUCUUACAGAAUUUCAAUCUUGUCAUAUGUGGCCUUCGUAUUUGAUUCCUCAAUGGUCAACCCUCGAGGUAGUUGGAGGUUGACAGCUAGAUUUCAGGACGUGGAGAACGAGCUAAAAGUUCAUGGAUAUGAUGGAAUGAUAGGUCCCAGGACUUGGAGAUCGAGAUAAAGGUCCACAGAUAUGGUGGAAUAUGGAAGAUUUGUACAGGAGAAACAAUUUAUGGAUGUGCAAUGUUUUAUGGUGCACCACUAGAUACCUCGUUCCUUUCUAAAAUGGAUUACUCUGAUGCUAUCAUUAUUAGAUAGAAGCUGUUGAUGGAGUUUGGCUGUUGAGGAAGAUGGUAGCAGUUGGGUUGCCGUCGAGGUUCAGUUUCAAAUGAGUUAAAUUGGUGGUGAUCAUGCUGGGUAAUAAGAUAAGUCAGCUUCGUUGAUGGAUGGAACAAAGGAAUGUAUAUGGUAGUUGGUGAAUUCGAGUCUGCCAUGGAAGCCGGAGGGGAUGGAGCUGAGUUAAGGGUGUUGCAAGUUUAUGAAGAAUUCCACUGACCAGGAUUCUGCAGAUUCACCUACAAGAUAUGAAAGAAGGUUUCUCUGAGCCACUUCCCAUUCAAGCGUUGGUCCAGGUACGAAAUUUCUUGGAAUGGUCGUUGAAAGCAUCAAAGCUAAAAGUUGGCAUGUGAACAACUAGCUUAUUAUGCUCAGCUGUGUGGUCUUCAUGUGUGCGCUGACCAGGCUCACUCCCGCCUGUCCUCAAGUAAUUUGACCGAAGAACAUCGAAAGAAAAAUCUCUCAUUUCAUCAGAUGGAAGUACUAAAAACCAAGUGAUGGAUGAUCUAGAUGUACAUAAUAUCGGCCUCUACAAGUUUGCUACUGAUUCAGCUGAUUUAUCCAUCUCCGACUUUUAAUCGAUAGUUGAGGAAAAAUUCAGUAAUGUUGAACUACAUAACAGCAGAAAUCUGCAGCCCAAAAAACGUUACAACUGGUCAGGAAAACACUAAUUAUGCAACAAAAAUCAUAAAGUAUAAUCAUCUUUUGAAUAAGAGGGUUGAGUUCUCACCUAGAACCACUAUGCAAAGUAUGUAGGGUCGUGAGCUUGCAAUGUUUGAAAGUCUAUGAUAAUUACUUGUAUAUUGUUAGCAUUUUGUAAAUCCAUUUGUACAAGUGCGUCUCUAUAAAUAUUUUUAUCAAAUCAAUAUAUUCCUCUAU
Molecule: long non-coding RNA, 1656 nt
Organism: Papaver somniferum (opium poppy)
Lineage: Eukaryota; Viridiplantae; Streptophyta; Magnoliopsida; Ranunculales; Papaveraceae
Exons: 8
Source: RefSeq, a predicted model, not a curated record